GGAGCCGUGCCUGAAUGCAUAAGGAUUACUUUGAUAGAGUAACACAUAGGGGUUAAAAUCCCCUCAGCUCC
RNAcentral lists this transfer RNA (71 nucleotides) under Prionobrama filigera (glass bloodfin tetra). RNAcentral describes it as "tRNA-Ile". It matches the Rfam family "tRNA". Rfam says of the family: Transfer RNA (tRNA) molecules are approximately 80 nucleotides in length. Their secondary structure includes four short double-helical elements and three loops (D, anti-codon, and T loops). The record is from RNAcentral. Lineage: Eukaryota; Metazoa; Chordata; Actinopteri; Characiformes; Characidae.